GACGAACGCUGGCGGCGUGCCUAAUACAUGCAAGUCGAACGCUGAAGGAGGAGCUUGCUCUUCUGGAUGAGUUGCGAACGGGUGAGUAACGCGUAGGUAACCUGCCUGGUAGCGGGGGAUAACUAUUGGAAACGAUAGCUAAUACCGCAUAACAGUAGAUGUUGCAUGACAUUUGCUUAAAAGGUGCAAUUGCACCACUACCAGAUGGCCCUGCGUUGUAUUAGCUAGUUGGUGGGGUAACGGCUCACCAAGGCGACGAUACAUAGCCGACCUGAGAGGGGGAUCGGCGACACUGGGACUGAGACACGGCCCAGACUCCUACGGGAGGCAGCAGGAGGGAAUCUUCGGCAAUGGACGGAAGUCUGACCGAGCAACGCCGCGUGAGUGAAGAAGGGUGUCGGAUCGUAAAGCUCGGUUGUAAGAGAAGAACGAGUGUGAGAGUGGAAAGUUCACACUGUGACGGUAGCUUACCAGAAAGGGACGGCUAACUACGUG
This 495-nucleotide ribosomal RNA is filed under the name uncultured bacterium. Its description in RNAcentral is "partial 16S ribosomal RNA". It matches the Rfam family "Bacterial small subunit ribosomal RNA", at positions 28 to 507 of the family's 1533-position model. The record is from RNAcentral.